UUGCUAUAGGGAGUAACAAGUCCCUGAUAAUUGAAUCCAUUCAUCACUUUGUCAGCAUUACAAUGUUUAUGUUUUGCUGAUCAUUAUCGGAUGGUACAAUU
Molecule: small nucleolar RNA, 101 nt
Organism: Lycium ferocissimum
Lineage: Eukaryota; Viridiplantae; Streptophyta; Magnoliopsida; Solanales; Solanaceae
Product: small nucleolar RNA snoR99
Exons: 1
Source: RefSeq, a predicted model, not a curated record